GUUUGCACUUGUCAGGGAAGGGUGAGAACCUUCGAUUAAGGUUCGACUCGAGCGAAAGCGAGAGAACGUUGCCAACGGCAACGGCCCGUAGGUUGAGGAGCGAAGCGACGAAUAAUCCUUCCCCCACCACCA
RNAcentral lists this small RNA (132 nucleotides) under Salmonella enterica. Its description in RNAcentral is "RtT sRNA". It matches the Rfam family "RtT RNA". From Rfam's summary of the family: This family represents a bacterial cis-regulatory element known as RtT RNA. The exact function of RtT is unknown although it is thought that it may be involved in changing the cellular response in relation to amino acid starvation. The record is from RNAcentral. Lineage: Bacteria; Pseudomonadati; Pseudomonadota; Gammaproteobacteria; Enterobacterales; Enterobacteriaceae.